Podarcis raffonei (Aeolian wall lizard) is the source of this 617-nucleotide long non-coding RNA. RefSeq lists it as uncharacterized. The transcript has 2 exons. The record is from RefSeq and is a predicted model, not a curated record. NCBI's taxonomy places the organism in Eukaryota, Metazoa, Chordata, Lepidosauria, Squamata, Lacertidae.
AGGAAGGACUUGGUGUAAAAAUUGUGAUAGUUGAUUGAAUAUUAGAUAUUAUAGAUUUUGAUUUUGGUCAAAGUGUCCUAGUAUUAAUUGCAUCCAGCCUUUUAGAUAGGAUGCAUUAGGCUUGAUUUUUGUAUGCCUGCAUUUUGUAACCCUCAUUCCACCCUCCUGUAAAGCUGUCAUGUGUAAGUUUCCUACCGCUUCCAUCCUUAUCAGACCCUAGAAGGGCAGAUGAUGUCUUUGACAUGUUUUGGGAAAAGAGAACUAAGAUAGGGACUAGGAACAUCAACAGCCCCACCGUGGGUCUGGUUGCCAAGGAAAUGGUGCAAAAUAUGAGACCCAAAUGACCUGGGCACUCUGGGACACCCCAAGGUAAUUUCAGAGGAGUCAAUAUCCACAUUGAGCCACGCAUCCCAUGACCUGUGACGUUUCUUGAUGCAAGUGGAUGAGUGUUGUGGCAUUUUAUGAGUCUUUGUGUGCUGUGUAUAUAAGCUUUCUUCUAAUGUGCCUCCUGGCAGCCUUUUCAAACCAGCCCUUCUGCUGAAGAACUGGAUAGCAAGGCUGUCCGAUUGCAAUAGUUUGAAUAAAAUGGGUCCCUGCAGGACUCUGAAUCUGCUCUC